GUAUAGGCUCGGAGAUAUUGAAUUUAUCCUUCUUUUUUUUGUGGCUGCUAAUCAUGGUUCGGAUGUACACCCGUACGGCGAAAGAAGCGAAUUUGACAACACAAAACGUCCAUCAAAUAUGGAACAAGUACUACACGAACGGACACAUAGACGAAAACAUGCGAAACCUUCACCUGGUUUCUCUAAGGAUGCUAAACACCAAGCUGCGUUUUACUGCCAGAAAUUUUUUUGCUUUAGAUCAUACUUUCUUCCGCAUGAUGAUAGGAGCGGUUAUGACCUAUUUGGUGAUUUUGAUACAGUUUCGAAUUUAAGGACACUGUACUUCUGUAUCUUGAAAAUAAUAACGGGUGUACAAUAAAAAAUAUAUUUGGGGCAGGCGCUGAAAAUUCAAUUGUUUGCGGCUUUUUUAAAGUGUAGAAAGAGUCACGUAAAAACUGAAGGUCAUUGAGAAUGACAUUUAGCGGCAAAUAAUGUUUGGUUAGAAAACAUUUUCUCACUUUAAUGCAAAUCUGCUUGACGCAAAUUAUUCAAAUAAAAUUAAUAAUUAAUUACUGGUACGGCCUGUACAACCGGCAGCACUCUUUGGGGCGACCCGCGCUUUUGUUGAUGGCACUCUUUGCUGGGUGGUCCCCCUCUGUCAAGGGGCGGCGGCGGCCUUUUAGUGCGGCAUUUCUUAUCGGCGGCUCGUACCAUAGUCGAAGACCAAAGGGUUGGGCGGACCAUACCCUUUCACAUCUGCCUUUACCGCACUUGAACAUUUUUUAGUUUGUUAGUCCUUCGAUAGCAGACUAGUUAUGUGGACUGUUACUAUCCAGUGUUGUGUACAAUAAAACAAUAAUUACAGUCCA
Molecule: long non-coding RNA, 848 nt
Organism: Zophobas morio
Lineage: Eukaryota; Metazoa; Arthropoda; Insecta; Coleoptera; Tenebrionidae
Exons: 3
Source: RefSeq, a predicted model, not a curated record